GAUGAACGCUGGCGGCGUGCCUAAUACAUGCAAGUCGAGCGAACAGACGAGGAGCUUGCUCCUCUGACGUUAGCGGCGGACGGGUGAGUAACACGUGGAUAACCUACCUAUAAGACUGGGAUAACUUCGGGAAACCGGAGCUAAUACCGGAUAAUAUGUUGAAUCGCAUGGUUCAACAGUGGAAGACGGUCUUGCUGUCACUUAUAGAUGGAUCCGCGCCGCAUUAGCUAGUUGGUAAGGUAACGGCUUACCAAGGCAACGAUGCGUAGCCGACCUGAGAGGGUGAUCGGCCACACUGGAACUGAGACACGGUCCAGACUCCUACGGGAGGCAGCAGUAGGGAAUCUUCCGCAAUGGGCGAAAGCCUGACGGAGCAACGCCGCGUGAGUGAAGAAGGUCUGCGGAUCGUAAAACUCUGUUAUUAGGGAAGAACAAAUGUGUAAGUAACUAUGCACGUCUUGACGGUACCUAAGCAGAAAGCCACGGCUAACUACGU
Molecule: ribosomal RNA, 496 nt
Filed under: uncultured bacterium
Lineage: Bacteria
Description: partial 16S ribosomal RNA
Rfam family: Bacterial small subunit ribosomal RNA
Source: RNAcentral